CCAUUGCAUCAAUUCACCUUUUUUCCUGCAAAUCCCAGCUCAGCCUUGCUCCUGAGCUCCUGUUAGUGAACCCUGACUGGCAGCUGAGGAAAUAAGAGUGUGUUUUUAACUGUGGGGGUUUGGAGAACCAAAAGUAACCCUAAACCCCAGCCAGUCCCCAGAAUGGAAACGUGAGGAGGUUGGUCAUACAUGGAAGGGGUAUCAGUGGAAAGAGAAAUAGAGACCAACCUUAAAUCCAUUGCUUCAGAAAUGAAGGAGCAGGAAGUGUAGAAUGAGAAGCAAACCACCCCACAACUGAGAGAUAUGAUUUCCAAAUAAGCUGCAGCUUGGCCAAGCUAUCCCAAGAGCAGCAGGUAUGUUUGUGGUAGAAAAGAUGUUUCUUGGGAACAUGAAGCUGUGCCUUAACUUGAGCACCAAGUCAGCCACACCCAUAAGGUAAGAAAACCCCCUCCUAAAAUAAUAGUUCAAAACAAAAAUAGAACAGCUGAAUGGAAUUUCCCCCCCAGUUUUCUUCUUUCUUUUUCUCUCAUUAGACACAUUAGAUCUGCUGAAGGGAUUUUUUUCCCAUUCAUGUUUCAUGAAUGCAAAAACAUGUGCAAAUUAAGGAUAUAAUUGACAGACAAAUGGCAGCUGCCAAAACCAGGAGGGAAAAGUUUCUAAAAGCUGAUGGUUUCACAGAUCCUUACUGCUGCACUUUGGUUUUGUGCUUCUUGUUGUCUGUUAUUUCAGUGGAAGUGCCUAACUCCAGGAUAACUUCUCUUCACAGACUUAAGGAAAUAAGAUACAUCUUUAUAAGCUUAUAUGGUGGAAUCUCCACAAUAAGAUAAAGAAAUAUCUGCUCAGAGAAGGUGCUCAGAGUCUGACUCAGGCCAUGCUCAGCCAAACUCAGCUAUGACUGUAAGAAAUUUUAUUUCUUAUGCAUCAGAAACAUUCUGAAAUUCCAGUGUAAGAAGAUGACACUUUUGUAAGAAAGAGCCCAGAUUUUCCUGGGGAAGAUAUUAUAUUUUCUGGGAAAGUUUGUGCUGUUCAGAGUCUCUUUCACUGGAAAGCAAAGCACAGCUAUUUGGCAUUCAGCUGAGUCAGCAUUCAUAGCGAAGAAACAGCUUCCAAGGCAGGAAGGAGAGGAUGAUUCUUCAGAUUUGGGUAAUAUAAGUCUUCCUUGCUUCUGACUGUGGCAGGCACAAUUCCGUAACAGGACUCUCCCAUCCAAGUUUCUUAAAUCAUGGCUGGCUUCAUUCCAGCCUCAGAGGUUGGGGCUGUGACCUGGCUGGCUGCGCGGUGGCACGGCCAGAGUGACCCCAGGCAGUGACACUGCUGCUUUCUGUGCUGUCUCCAGGGCAUCAGGAGCUGCUCUCACACCACCUCAGGCUUCAUGGGGACCUCUUGCCAAAGGGCUUUUAUGGCACAAGAUGAAAUAGUCACUUUUAUGCUGUUAUUCCUUUACGCUGCAGAAAGAUUCAAACGGGCAUCUGCGGGUUUGCCAGACAGAAGGAAACCUAAUUUGUUAAUAAACUUUAUUUGUAAGUUCUACA
Molecule: long non-coding RNA, 1532 nt
Filed under: Cyanistes caeruleus (blue tit)
Lineage: Eukaryota; Metazoa; Chordata; Aves; Passeriformes; Paridae
Description: lncRNA (ENSCCEG00000017112.1)
Source: RNAcentral